Molecule: small nuclear RNA, 107 nt
Filed under: Delphinapterus leucas (beluga whale)
Lineage: Eukaryota; Metazoa; Chordata; Mammalia; Artiodactyla; Monodontidae
Source: RNAcentral
GUGCUCACUUUGGCAGCACAUAUACUAAAAUUAGAACGAUACAGAGAAGAUUAGCAUGGCCCUUGUGCAAGGAUGACAUGCAAAUUCGUGAAGCGUUCCAUGUUUUU